CCCUUAGAUGUUCUGGACUGCACGCGCGCUACACUGACGCACGCAACAGGUGCCUGCUCCGAGAGGACUGGGUAAUCAUUUGAGUGUGCGUCGUGAUGGGGAUAGAAUAUUGUAAUUAUUACUCUUCAACGAGGAAUUCCUAGUAAGCGCAAGUCAGCAGCUUGCGCUGAUUACGUCCCUGCCCUUUGUACACACCGCCCGUCGCUCCUACCGAUGGGUGAUCCGGUGAAUGAUUCGGACUUCAGCGGCUCCUCUGGGGUGCGCCGGAGAAAGUUUUGUGAACCUUAUCACUUGGAGGAAGGAGAAGUCGUAACA
This 315-nucleotide ribosomal RNA is filed under the name uncultured eukaryote. RNAcentral's name for it is "partial 18S ribosomal RNA". It matches the Rfam family "Eukaryotic small subunit ribosomal RNA", at positions 1470 to 1796 of the family's 1831-position model. The record is from RNAcentral.